Molecule: ribosomal RNA, 450 nt
Filed under: uncultured bacterium
Lineage: Bacteria
Description: bacterial SSU rRNA
Rfam family: Bacterial small subunit ribosomal RNA
Source: RNAcentral
UCGAGGAUCUUCCGCAAUGGGCGAAAGCCUGACGGAGCGACGCCGCGUGUGGGAUGAAGGCCUUCGGGUUGUAAACCACUGUCACCGGUUAUGAAAGACCCUGGUGUUAACAGCAUCAGGGGCUGACAAAGGCCGGAGAGGAAGCCACGGCUAACUUCGUGCCAGCAGCCGCGGUAAGACGAAGGUGGCGAGCGUUGUUCGGAAUCACUGGGCAUAAAGCGCACGUAGGCGGCGGCGUAAGUCGGAUGUGAAAUCCCUCGGCCCAACCGAGGAACUGCGUCCGAUACUGCGCAGCUUGAGGACCAAAGGGGUGCAUGGAAUUUCCGGUGGAGCGGUGAAAUGCGUUGAUAUCGGAAGGAACGUCGGCGGCGAAAGCGAUGCACUGGUUGGUUUCUGACGCUGAGGUGCGAAAGCCAGGGGAGCAAACGGGAUUAGAUACCCGUGUAGUCC